CAUAUAUAAGUGACACUUAGGAUUACAUUCUCCAGAGCCGUCUCCCUCCCUAUCAAUCCCUCUCCCAUUUCCCUCCUCUCUCCCCACCUACCCCUCUCCCUCAGUCCUCAUCCCCUUCUCUUAGAUCCACCGGCCUCUCUCUCUGGUCCGUUCUCACUCUCUCUCCCCCCUGGUACUCCUCAUGAUGUGUGGGGAAGGGGGCCACGCUUGCGGCGAUGGUGGGCCAUGCCCUUGUAGCAGGGUCUGUGCUUAUGAUGGCAGUAGGCCGCGCCUCGGCUUAGGGUGUCGCGGUGGCUCAGGAUCUCGACCUCCAGCGGUGGUGGAUUGGGGUCCAGUGGGAUCUCCACCUCUAGCAGCGGUGGCUUGGGGGCUCAACGCCUCCACUAGGAUCUCCAUUGCAGCGGCAGCGGCUCAGGGUCUAGCGAUGGUGGCGGGCUGCUCCCUUCUCAAGCUACAUCGGUGGCUCUAGAUCUCCUUCUCGGACCCAUCCCGGAUCCAGCGAGUGGAGCGGUGGAUCUAGUGAGUGGAGCUGCAGAUCUAGCUAGCAGCAACCUCUGCCUGUGGAUGGGCACGGCAGCCUAUGCACAGUUUUUUUUUUGUUUUUUGUAUUGAUUAACCAAGGCGGGCAAAGCACCCGCCACCAUGGUCUGUGCAUUAACAGGGACCUUUGAUUGGAGGCGGUUGCUUUGUCCGCCUCCAAAAAAUCCAAAACGUCUGCCUCUAAAAAGUUUUUUGUAGUAGUGUAUUUCAAUUGUUUAUUGUAGAUCAUACAUUGUAUACAUUUUCAUUGGAACUUAUUUUAUUUAAUUGUGUCUAAUUUACUAUGAUGGGUUAUUGUGUUUAUCAUAGUGUAUCAACAUUGUUUAAAAUUACAUCUUGAUUGCUUCUUGAGUGAAACACCUUAAUUAUAUAAUUUUUUUUGAAAGAUUUUAGCAAAUUUUUUAAAUUUUUUCCAUACAUUCCUCGCAUGCUUCUGUUCUAUUGAAGCUAUACCCUAUUGUUGCCAAACAUAGAAAUGGCCUUGUUACCAAUCCCUAGCACUUUGGAGGUAUGGUGGCCAUUAGAUCAAACCGAUAAUUUAAUUUGGUCUUUAGAACAAUUCAGUUGUUGGAUUCCAUGUGUAUAAGAUUUUGCAGAAUGUUGUACAUAUCAAAAUAAUGGGACAUUGUGUUGACCCUCUCUCUCUAUCCCCUCCUCUCCCUAUACUUGUUAUGUGCUAGAUGAUGAUAUGCUGCACCAAAAUACAAUUCAGCAAAUUGUAGUUUAAUUAGAGUUCUAAACCGCUGCUUGUAUGAUGGCUGACUCUCUUAGUAAGUCAUUUAGUUGUUCGAUUGUUCAUAUAUAAGAUUUUGCAGCCCCUUGUAUACGGACAAAAAUGGGGGCAUUUCCUUGAGACUCUCCCUCUCUCUCUGCUUCCCUAUACUUCGAGCUCCAAUAAAACAUAAAACUAGAUAGACACAUGAGUAUAAGGAUGAGCAAUCUCUUGGUGUGUAUUUUUGCUGAUGAUCAUAUUGCUUGCCAUACACUUUGUAAUUUUUUGGCCAAUAUUAGUCAGUUAGUUCUCUCAUUUAUGGCAUUGCUCUGCAAUUUAUUUUGUGG
RNAcentral lists this long non-coding RNA (1599 nucleotides) under Sorghum bicolor (sorghum). RNAcentral describes it as "long non-coding RNA (SBIC_LNC009542)". Lineage: Eukaryota; Viridiplantae; Streptophyta; Magnoliopsida; Poales; Poaceae. The record is from RNAcentral.